GACGAACGCUGGCGGCGUGCUUAACACAUGCAAGUCGAACGGAAAGGCACUGCUUUUGUGGGGUGCUCGAGUGGCGAACGGGUGAGUAACACGUGUGUAACCUGCCCUUGACUUUGGGAUAACUUCAGGAAACUGGGGCUAAUACCGGAUAGGAUCUCCUGCUGCAUGGUGGGGGUUGGAAAGUUUCGGCGGUUGGGGAUGGACUCGCGGCUUAUCAGCUUGUUGGUUGGGUAGUGGCUUACCAAGGCUUUGACGGGUAGCCGGCCUGAGAGGGUGACCGGCGACAUUGGGACUGAGAGACGGCCCAGACUCGUACGGGAGGCAGCAGGGGGGAAUAUUGCACAAUGGGCGGAAGCCUGAUGCAGCGACGCCGCGUGCGGGAUGACGGCCUUCGGGUUGUAAACCGCUUUCGCCUGUGACGAAGCGUGAGUGACGGUAAUGGGUAAAGAAGCACCGGCUAACUACGUG
This 468-nucleotide ribosomal RNA is filed under the name uncultured bacterium. RNAcentral's name for it is "partial 16S ribosomal RNA". It matches the Rfam family "Bacterial small subunit ribosomal RNA", at positions 28 to 507 of the family's 1533-position model. The record is from RNAcentral.